Molecule: ribosomal RNA, 672 nt
Filed under: Vairimorpha ceranae
Lineage: Eukaryota; Fungi; Microsporidia; Nosematidae
Description: SSU rRNA
Rfam family: Microsporidia small subunit ribosomal RNA
Source: RNAcentral
GUAUAUGAGGUGAUUAAUUGGAGGGCAAAUCAAGUGCCAGCAGCCGCGGUAAUACUUGUUCCAAGAGUGUGUAUGAUGAUUGAUGCAGUUAAAAAGUCCGUAGUUUAUUUUUUAAGAAGCAAUAUGAGGUGUACUGUAUAGUUGGGAGAAAGAUGAAAUGUGACGACCCUGACUGGACGAACAGAAGCGAAAGCUGUACACUUGUAUGUAUUUUUUGAACAAGGACGUAAGCUGGAGGAGCGAAGAUGAUUAGAUACCAUUGUAGUUCCAGCAGUAAACUAUGCCGACGAUGUGAUAUGGAAAUGUUAAUUUGUAUUACAUAAUAGAAAUUUGAGUUUUUUGGCUCUGGGGAUAGUAUGAUCGCAAGAUUGAAAAUUAAAGAAAUUGACGGAGGAAUACCACAAGGAGUGGAUUGUGCGGCUUAAUUUGACUCAACGCGAGGUAACUUACUAAUAUUUUAUUAUUUUGAGAGAACGGUUUUUGUUUGAGAAUGAUAAUAGUGGUGCAUGGCCGUUUUCAAUGGAUGCUGUGAAGUUUUGAUUAAUUUCAACAAGACGUGAGACCCUUAUUUUUUAUUAAAGACAGACACAAUCAGUGUAGGAAGGAAAGGAUUAAAACAGGUCCGUUAUGCCCUCUGACAUUUUGGGCUGCACGCGCAAUACAAUAGAUAUA